RNAcentral lists this long non-coding RNA (256 nucleotides) under Brassica napus (rape). Its description in RNAcentral is "long non-coding RNA (BNAP_LNC014559)". Lineage: Eukaryota; Viridiplantae; Streptophyta; Magnoliopsida; Brassicales; Brassicaceae. The record is from RNAcentral.
GGUGACGCUGACUGCAAUGAGGGAUCUUGAUUGUUUCUCACGCCAUUGUUUUCUUAGGCAGGAUUUAAGGCUGGCAGUAUCAUCAACGAUGUGGUUUAUCCAUUCACUACUAUUAAGGACAAUAUUUCCUAUUGAAGUUGGAAGAGAUUUCUUAAAAACUCAUCUAACUUAAUAUUUACAGCGAGAAAAACAAUCACAAUACUUAGAAAGCGAAAUAUAUUGGAAGUAGAUUUCACUCCACUCCAAACCUUGUCUA